UUCGGUUCGGAAUAACUCAGGGAAACUUGAGCUAAUACCGGAUACGACCUUACGGGGAAAGAUUUAUCGCCGAAGGAACGGCCCGCGCCCGAUUAGCUUGUUGGUGAGGUAAUGGCUCACCAAGGCGACGAUCGGUAGCUGGUCUAAGAGGAUGAUCAGCCUCACUGGGACUGAGACACGGCCCAGAACUCCUACGGGAGGCAGCAGUGGGGAAUAUUGGACAUUGGGCGCAAGCCUGAUCCAGCCAUGCCGCGUGAGUGAUGAAGGCCCUAGGGUUGUAAAGCUCUUUCAGCGGGAAAGAUAAUGACGGUACCCGCAGAAGAAGCCCCGGCUAACUAGUGCCAGCAGCCGCGGUAAUACGAAGGGGGCUAGCGUUGCUCGGAAUUACUGGGCGUAAAGCGCACGUAGGCGGCUUUCUAAGUCGGGGGUGAAAUCCUGGAGCUCAACUCCAGAACCGCCUUCGAUACUCGGAAGCUCGAGUCCGGGAGAGGUGAGUGGAACUGCGAGUGUAGAGGUGAAUUCGUAGAUAUACGCAAGAACACCAGUGGCGAAGGCGGCUCA
Molecule: ribosomal RNA, 561 nt
Filed under: uncultured bacterium
Lineage: Bacteria
Description: bacterial SSU rRNA
Rfam family: Bacterial small subunit ribosomal RNA
Source: RNAcentral